Molecule: non-coding RNA, 145 nt
Filed under: Solanum lycopersicum (tomato)
Lineage: Eukaryota; Viridiplantae; Streptophyta; Magnoliopsida; Solanales; Solanaceae
Source: RNAcentral
GUCGACUUCACAGAGCAACGAACAGUUCCCGCUUUAUGCAGUGGAAGGAUAACGAGUCGGUACCCUCCUAAGUACAAUAACGCCUGAUGGGCUGCUCCAAUUAAACCACCACUUUUGGUUUUUGUUCAAAUUCUGUAUUUUUCUU